CUGGUUGAUCCUGCCAGUAGCAUAUGCUUGUCUUAAAGAUUAAGCCAUGCAUGUCUUCGAGUAAGUGGUAUACCGCAAAUCUGCGGACGGCUCCGUAUAUCAGUGGUAAUUUAUUGGGUUUUCGAGUUUAAAUGGAUAACCGUGGUAAUUCUACGGCUAAUACAUGCUUCAACCCUGACUAGGGCUUUCGGGCUCUUGGAAAGGGUGCAUUUGUGCACGGUAAAACCAACCCUCUUCGGAGGUAACGGUUGAUACCGUACAAACGUGGCCAAUCGUACGCCUUGAGCGAGCGAUGACGCCUACAAGCUUCUGACCUAUCAACUUCCGACGACCGGUAAGUGGCCGGCCGUGGUUACAACGGGUACAGAGGAUUAGGGUCCGAUCCUGGAGAAUCAGCCUGAGAAAUUGCUGAUACUUCUAAGGAAGGCAGCAGGCGCGCAACGUUCCCAAUGGGACAAUGUCUGAGGACGUUAUGAGACGUAUCAAUGCCGGGCCGAAGAGGCCCGGUAAUUGGAAUGGGGGCAAUUUAAAUCCCUCACCGAGUAAACAAUUGGAGGGCAAGUCUGGU
This 568-nucleotide ribosomal RNA is filed under the name uncultured eukaryote. RNAcentral describes it as "bacterial SSU rRNA". It matches the Rfam family "Eukaryotic small subunit ribosomal RNA", at positions 4 to 565 of the family's 1831-position model. The record is from RNAcentral.